Molecule: ribosomal RNA, 399 nt
Filed under: Rhachotropis sp. BOLD:ADF7875
Lineage: Eukaryota; Metazoa; Arthropoda; Malacostraca; Amphipoda; Eusiridae
Description: partial 16S ribosomal RNA
Source: RNAcentral
AACGGGUAUGAUGGUUUAAUGAAUUAGUAAGAUCUUGUGUAAAAAUUUUUAAAGUUUUAUUUUAAGUAAAAAUACUUGAAUAGGUUAGGGGGACGAUAAGACCCUAAAAGCUUAAAUUUGUGUUUUAGGUGGGUUUAAUGAUACAAUAUAUUUUAAUCGUUAAAGUUUUAGCUGGGGUAGUUUUUUUAUUUAAAUUAAGAGUAUGUAAAACUAGGCAGGUUAUAAGGUCCUUUGUAUAAGGAUAGUUAGAAUCAGUUACUUUAGGGGUAACAGCGUAAUAUUUUUGGAGAGAUCUUAUUUAUAAGAGUGAUUGCGACCUCCAUGUUGAAUUAAAUUAAUUUUGUGGGGCAGCCAGCACGAAAUAGAGGUUUGUUCAACCUGUUGUAKUUUACAUGAUUU